GGGCAUGUAGCGCAGUUGGUAGCGCGCUCGCUUAGCAAAAUCGCUUACGUAGUCGGGCUGCGAGAGGCCUCCGGUUCAAAUCCGGACUUGUCCA
Molecule: non-coding RNA, 94 nt
Organism: Ceratobasidium sp. AG-Ba
Lineage: Eukaryota; Fungi; Basidiomycota; Agaricomycetes; Cantharellales; Ceratobasidiaceae
Source: the annotation of a GenBank genome assembly